GUGAUGAACAAAACGGAGCGGUUUCUCCUACACAAAUAAUAUUUUGGGAAAAACUGAACAUUUGCUAUCUAACUGAGAGUCUUCUCAUUGAAAACAUCCGAAGUUCUUCAAAGAUUCAAUCUGCUGAUGCCCAAAAUGUCCCAGGUGUCCAGCAAGCCAAGGCCAGGAAAUACUACAGUACUACGAGGGAGGCUGUUGUUAUCUGCUUCUGUGGCUUCCUACAUGACACACUAACACACCUGAGUGACCAGUCUGUCUGUCUGCAGAGGUCCACCAUCACCAUAACAGAAGCCCACAGCUCCUUGUGCUCAACACAGGCAGUACUUAAGAAGUACAAAUCCAGAUUUUGGAGACACUGAACUGGAAACCCUGGUGGACCACUUCCUGUCCUGGAGACCUCUGGCAUACAUGUUGAAAGGAUCCCUGACCAGUGGACUGUCCUGGAGACCUCUGGCAUCCAUGUUGAAAGGAUCCCUGACCAGUGGACUGUCCUGGAGACCUCUGGCAUCCAUGUUGAAAGGAUCCCAACCAGUAGACUGUCCUGAAGGUGCUGUAUGUACCAAGAGCUUCAGUCCCUGCAGAAGAUGUCCUGGUUCCGUGUCUACAUGAGCCAUCAGCAUUCCUGCCCUGAUUUGCUGGCAUUGGUUGUCCUAGUCGUGUCCAUCCCCGCCUCCACAACUGAAUGUGAAAGAGGUUUUAAUACCAUGAAACAGGUGAAAACCAAUUGGCGGUCCAACCUAAAGCCUGAUACAAUAUUAGAUCUUCUUAUGGUCCAGCUGUUCUCUCCAGAGAUCAGGGAGUGUGAUCCGAUAAAAGCUGUGAUGCUGUGGCUUCAGGACCGUGCAAAUGGGGUGAUUGCAGUAGAGAGUGAGGAGUCUGAUGAGGAGGUUUAAGUUGAUUAAAAUGAUUAAGCAUCUGAUAGGUUUACAAAACCUUCAAAUGUACUUUUACAUUUGAUCCUUAAGUACAUUUAAUAGCAAAUACUUCAGUAGAAUUUUGAGUUCAAGACUUAUUCAGUUGUAUUCAGUCUGGGAAACUAAAUCUAGCCACAGCCAAAAUUAACCAGUAUCUGAUAAGUCUCUAUUUUACCUGUAUUUUAUCAGGGUAUUUCUACUCAAAGUACAGGAUUUGUAGACCUGCUUUCCCUGUUUCCCCUUUGUAUCAGUGUCCACUGCACUGCUUUCUCAUAAUUGUAUCUUACCAUUGUUGUUGCCCUGUUUUGACUUCUAUGUAAUCAUAUUCAUUGGAUCUGAUAUGUUUUGUUUAUUUAAUAGUGUGCCCACUGUUUGGCGUUUUUGGUCAACUACAGUCAACUACAGUUUUUAAACGAGUUCUACAAAUAAACUUGAUUUGAUUAACCGUUGAUCAAUAUAUUAAAAUA
Long non-coding RNA from Oncorhynchus masou masou (cherry salmon), 1381 nucleotides. RefSeq lists it as uncharacterized. The transcript has 3 exons. Lineage: Eukaryota; Metazoa; Chordata; Actinopteri; Salmoniformes; Salmonidae. The record is from RefSeq and is a predicted model, not a curated record.